AUGGCUUACUUUGACUUAGUAGCUGAAAUAGAUUUGGAUGCAGCAGCCUCCCUUAUUGUUCGCUGUCUGAUCAGUUUUUGUGUUUUCCAGUUCAGUCCUCCCGCUGAAAGCUUAUUUGGAUUUUUCUUUGGAAAUCCAGCUGCUAUCCCUUUUUCUGAACACACUAUUCUUUCUUCUUUCAGGUUAGAGGACUGCAGAUUGUCAGAGGUCAGCUGUAAAGUUCUGGGAUCAGCUCUGGAGUCCAGCCUGUCCAAACUGACAAAACUGGACCUGAGCAGAUUGGAAAAGUGCAGUUUGUCAAAAAUCAGCUGUGAAUCUCUGGGCUCAGCUCUGAAGAACAACCCGUCCAAACUGACAGAACUGGACCUUGGCAUGAACAACCUGCAGGAGUCAGAUGUUCAGCAGCUCCAGGAUCUGGUGAAAAGUUCAAUCUCCAAACUGCAGACUCUGAGGUGGGAGGGGUAGGGUUCAUGCUCUUGAUGUUCCUCCUGGUGGAGCAGAGAGGAGCAGCAGCUCUACAGAGAUGUUCUGACUUGAAGGUGGAGAGCAGAGUGAUGGAGGAAUCAGAGGAAGUGGAGAUGAGUGUCAGAGCUGCAGCAUGAACUGAUCAGAGAUCAGCUCCACUGUCUCUCUCAGCACCAAGUGUAAAGUUAUGGUGGUGCAGCUCCCCCGGUGGACUGAUGGAGAACAACAUUUUAUAUUUCCAAACUUCUGCUUCUCUUCUCUCUAUCGCAUUAGGAGCUUCUCUUAACUUUGUACACAUGCUCUUGCCAUAGUUGCAGAUGUCAUCCUUCCUGUCAGCUGUUAACUAGAAAAAUGAAAGCACCAAACUGUAUCUUUUUAAUUUACAUUAUUUUACACAGAAUAACCUAGGAUUUUUUAUUUUACAAAAUAUGUUAAAUAAAAACAGAGAGGACAUCACUACACAUCUAAAACAUUAGACAACUUUACUGUUUUUUAUUCAAAGAAACCUUGUCUACAUAACUCCGUUAUUGAUAUCUACUUUUUGUUCUCUGCUUACGGCAUUUUAAUAGUCAAUCAAGUGUUUUAUUUUCUAUCAAACGUAGUUUCUGUUUCUUUUAGAAAGCAGGACAACACUGUGCUGAAAAAAAGUCCCUUGCAGUCCCCCAUGAGGAGAACUGGCUCAGUCAAUCACCUGUAGUCCCUGUAAUGUGUAUUUAUCGUGUAUUUACGUAUUUAUCUGCCACUUAAAACACGGUCGGUAAAAAUACUGUCCAGCUUUAAAGGGGUACAUGUGUCACCAACUCCUUGGCAUUGCAUCAGGAUCAUAGUGUAGUCGGUGUCUAACGACACCGUCAUCUCCAAAUCAACACUUUCAUUGAACUUUCUGGUUUCUGCUGCAAGUCCAGCAGCUUUAUCGUCAAAAAAAGCAAACAAACAAAAAAGCGCUGCUUCAUAAGCCAAAUGCUACACAGGUAUGAAUUAACAGAGGUAGAAGUAGAGGAGCAUCAAAACAAUACAACAAAACAAAAGGAGCAGAAUAUUUCUCAAAUUCAUCAUUACAACACACACACAGAUUUGAAACGUUUGUUUGUCAGAGAGUAGACGGCAACUACUUUACAAAUAUUUGGUGAAUUUUCACCAAUCCAAUCCACUUUAUUCAUAUAGCACAUUUCUCAAACAGGCAGUUUCCUAAGUGCUGUACAGUGACCAAAAACCUGACAAAAGAUUACCAAACAAAAUAAAACCAAAGUACACCAGUAAAAUGAAUAGAAAUGAAUAAAAACAAGAUUAAAAAAAAACACAGAUAAAAACACAGAGGACCACACAACUCACGCAGUGUUAGAAGCUAGAGAAUAAAAAUGAGUUUUAAGAUGGACUUAAAACACUCCACAGACCGCGCUGUUCAGA
RNAcentral lists this long non-coding RNA (1872 nucleotides) under Oryzias sinensis (Chinese medaka). Its description in RNAcentral is "lncRNA (ENSOSIG00000007842.1)". Lineage: Eukaryota; Metazoa; Chordata; Actinopteri; Beloniformes; Adrianichthyidae. The record is from RNAcentral.